RNAcentral lists this ribosomal RNA (253 nucleotides) under uncultured bacterium. RNAcentral describes it as "partial 16S ribosomal RNA". It matches the Rfam family "Bacterial small subunit ribosomal RNA", at positions 524 to 776 of the family's 1533-position model. The record is from RNAcentral.
UACGUAGGGUGCUAGCGUUGUUCGGAAUCAUUGGGCGUAAAGCGCGUGUAGGUGGUUAGUAAAGUUGAUUGUGAAAUCCCUCGGCUCAACCGAGGAAGUGCAGUCAAAACUAACUAGCUUGAGAGUGGUAGAGGAAGGUGGAAUUCCUAGUGUAGAGGUGAAAUUCGUAGAUAUUAGGAGGAAUACCGGAGGCGAAGGCGGCCUUCUGGACCAUUUCUGACACUGAGACGCGAAAGCGUGGGUAGCAAACAGG